Strigops habroptila (Kakapo) is the source of this 2366-nucleotide long non-coding RNA. RefSeq lists it as uncharacterized. The record is from RefSeq and is a predicted model, not a curated record. The transcript is spliced from 2 exons. NCBI's taxonomy places the organism in Eukaryota, Metazoa, Chordata, Aves, Psittaciformes, Psittacidae.
CCAAACCGUUCUAGGAUUCUAUGAUCAGGACCUAGCACUUCUAGCAGUCUUUAGUCUUGCCAUGUAUUGCCAAAAGCAGAAGUUAGUCAGCUUGAAAAGGGACAGAAGGAACAGCUCUGGACAAGCGUUUGAAUGAGUCAUCUGCAGAGGAGUUGAGGUGGGACAUAGGUCGUUCUCAGGUUUUGAUCACUGUUUUUGGAUCCUGCACUGGGAGCGGAGGAAGGUCUGUGGAAUACUUUAAUUCUGACAGAAAACAAACUAUAGAGAGGGAGGCCCAACGUCAGGUUAAAACUUGCUGUGCCUCUACUUGUCUGCCCCUCUACUGGAAAACUUGUAGGCAUUGAUGAAUUGAAAAAUGGCAGGUGCUUGGAUUACUACCAAUUAAUAUAUAAGUUGCAUUGGGCAACAGUAUUGUGCCAAGAAAUCAUAAGUAAAGAACAUAAGGCUGUCAGUGGAGAAUGAUGUUGAUCUUACAUACUGUGGGUCAUUAGCUUACUAAGCCUUUGAUAGUGGCGUAGAGAGUGCACAGUCCCCAGUUUCCAUGUCACUGUCAGGAGAAGUACUACAGGGUGUUUGUUAGCCAGCUUUCCUAAUGGAGCAAGUCUUGUGCAACCAUGCUGGCCAUCAGCCUUGCUGCUCAAUAACUUGCUGACGGACAUCAAUCAAACUAGAUAACAGGGUAAGACAUAAACAAACAUGAAGUUGCAGCUUCUGUAAAAGCUGGUAUGUAGACAGGCCGGAGAUACAAAUUAGUGCUGUCACCAUGGGCAACAGAGUUCAUACCCAGUCCCUGUGCAGGUUGUUUGGCAGAGCUGCUGGCCAACCAAGAUGCACACAGUUACAGAUUAACUGUGGUAUAGCUCCUGUCCCCGCUUUAGAGCCCCGGGUGCAGAACAGCUGCUUGUGGGGAAGAACAUGAGAAAUACUCAGGAGAUCUAGGAGCCGAUAGUAGGACACAAACUGUUUUGCAAAGUUGAGGCUGAAUGUUAGCAUGGGAGACAGAGUAGAGCUUGGGAAUUUUUACUAGGGAAGAAUUUCCACAAAAACUGCUCAGUUUUUCUUGUGGCCUUUUGCUGUGUAUGAUCUGACUUCACAGGGUUACUUUCUUUCUGAAGAGACUUGCUAGGAGUAGAUAGCUAAGGUUAUAGUAGAGAGUCCACUCUCCCCAACCAUCCUGCCAAAGAUCAUAAACUUACUAAUAGGUCUGUUGGAAUAACAAAUUGAUGCACUGAAGUUGCCUGAAAGGUGUGUAAUAUUCCCUCCCUCUUUCUCUCUCUGGCCCCCCCCCGGAUGCAUAUUACAAAGAAAGAAAAAAGCCACAGCAGACCAAGGGAGUUAAAUUAUAAACCCAGAUUCAGGUAAAGGAAUACAGAGGAAGCUGAAAUGCAGAACUAAGAUGACAGGACACAAGUAGCAGGCAGGAAGGAGGCUGGUGGUGGCUGGUAAGAACUGUAAUUGCCAGACUUGGGAAGCACCUGCAAGUUGGCUGUCAGCCUGCAUUCUUGCACUGGCUUUCCCUCGGGAAACGCUGGGCUAGGUGACAGAACAUCACGUUUAGGAAAAGUGCUUUUUAAAUACACGUACGUCUGGAAGAGGUACCAGAAUGUUUAUGUUAAACUGGAAAAUUUCAAGUUACAUUGAAAGGGUUUGGUAAAAUUGGAGAGGCGCCACCUGUAUCCUGGAUUCCUGCUAUUUUUGUCAUUCCACAGAAGCCGCUGUACAAUUUGUUCCAAGGACACCGAAUUGCCAAGAUUCACGUUUCUGAACAUGGAUGUGCUAUAGAGGAAAUCUGUUACUUUGCUACAGCCCCGUGUCUUCAACGCCAAGUGAUCUUCCAGGAAGAAAUGUUUAGCAAUCUCUGCCCUGUGGGCACAAAUAUACUCAAGGUGAUGAGAACCCAAAUAGCCGGCAUCAGGCUAACAAGUGGCUGGAUGCUCAGCCAAAUUCUGUCACCGGCUAUCAAAAGGCAAUGAAAUGCAGCUGUUUUGCUAUGAAGAAGUGAUUACUGUGCUGGCUAAUGAACUAACCACUUACCUGUUUGGUUCAGCAAAAUGCAAAAUCCCAGAAAUUUGAGGAAAUCAAAUUAAAAAUGAGGACUUGAGAAAAAGAGAGUCACAGCCACCUGGCCUGUCAAUCUCUUCCACAGCUUUUGAAACUGAAGCUACUUUCAGGCCAGGAAGAGUAAAAAUCUUUGGAGAUCAUUACAUUCUCUGUAGGUCUAGGGGGCAAAGGGAUGGGUGGAGAUCAGCAGCUGGAUAAAGGAGAAUAAAACAAACAUUCCCACAAGGGAGCAGAAGGGCAGAACUAAGCAGAAGAACCCUCUGCACUACUGCUGCUUGAGGUUAUCUGAGGGGAGGGGUUAUACA